Long non-coding RNA from Rhipicephalus sanguineus (brown dog tick), 355 nucleotides. RefSeq lists it as uncharacterized. NCBI's taxonomy places the organism in Eukaryota, Metazoa, Arthropoda, Arachnida, Ixodida, Ixodidae. The record is from RefSeq and is a predicted model, not a curated record. The transcript is spliced from 3 exons.
GCGCUUCACCGGCUGCCAGCGUGAAAAUUCAAUGCCAGCAAGGAGCUCGGAGACUACCUACGAAAACGGAAUAACCAUGCACCAUGUGGGUGUGCGCACCGCCUCCAAGAAACUGCUCAUAUCAGCACACGCUCGGAUGCUUUAUCUCUGAACCUACCUCAAGUCAGCAGAGGAUUUUCCACUACUGAAAGUAAAUUCGUCGUCCCAAAUCCUCACAAGAAAACUGGACAAAAGAGAGAUCAUUGGUUUCCAAGCUACCCACACCAAGUCGUAAGAAGCUCAAGAGUCGCCUAUCCACCACCAAAGUUUACCAGGCGGACAAAUGCAAGCCUUAUACUGAAAAGCAGUGAUAGUG